This 254-nucleotide ribosomal RNA is filed under the name uncultured bacterium. RNAcentral's name for it is "partial 16S ribosomal RNA". It matches the Rfam family "Bacterial small subunit ribosomal RNA", at positions 524 to 776 of the family's 1533-position model. The record is from RNAcentral.
UACAGAGGUCUCGAGCGUUAGGCGGAAUCACUGGGCUUAAAGCGCGUGUAGGCGGGUGGGAACGCCGGCCCCUGAUAGCCCCCGGCUCAACCGGGGAAGGGGUGCCGAAACGGCCCGCCUGGAGGGGCGUAGGGGGACCUGGAACUUCCGGUGGAGCGGUGAAAUGCGUUGAGAUCGGAAGGAACGCCCGUGGCGAAAGCGAGGUCCUGGACGUCAUCUGACGCUGAGACGCGAAAGCUAGGGGAGCGAACGGG